Molecule: unclassified non-coding RNA, 902 nt
Filed under: Hevea brasiliensis (rubber tree)
Lineage: Eukaryota; Viridiplantae; Streptophyta; Magnoliopsida; Malpighiales; Euphorbiaceae
Source: RNAcentral
AAGAAAAGAGAGAGAGAGAGAGAACGUAAAGAGUGAAAAAGUUACCAUCUGACUGAAAAGUAAGUUAAAAAGAGAAAAGCACUGUCGGCUGGGCUGACUCUGAAGUCUGAAGCAACAUCGACAUUCACGCAACUGAAAGUGGACCACUUGGCAUUGGCAGUUCCUUUUAUUUAAUAUUCAUCUUCAUGUGGAGUCAUUUACGUACCCCUCAACCCCAUCACCACACAACUACCACCAAGUAACGAAUCAAAUUAAAAGAAUCGUUUAAGAAAUGGAGAAAGGUUAGGUGCUUAGGUUACACUAAUAAUAUAUAUCGUCACGUUUACACUUACUACAGGCUAGGCUACAACAUCCAUCUAAUCAAGGACCCUAUAAUUUUACUCCCGACUACAUGCGACUUUAAGAUGGCAGCACAAUGAGGACAACCAUAUAUAUAUACACUCUCCAGCCAUGAAUGCUAGUUUCUAGUAAAUAUUUACACAUACCCAACUCUCCAUUUUCGUCAGCAUAAGAGUUAGCGCAUCGAUCUGAGCUAUACUUUCAGAGCUAGAAAACUUGCUUUUCCUCUCCGAUCACAUUAAGAGACAUAUAUGGACCUCCACAAAUCAGGUAACAUCAAUUCUCUGCUCUAUAUAUGUAUAUAUGUAGACCAUAACAUAAUACCCUCAUCUAUUUAGCAUUCCAGGAGGGACAAUGUCCCCAAGCAGUCCUUCAUCUAUUGGAAUCUGUGGGGUUAGCUCUCUCAGUGUACCGGAUUCAACUGUUUGAACGGGUAUUUGUUGUGACCGUGUAAUAGUUGGAGGACUUUCUCUAGGUAACUGAAUUCCAGGAUAAUAGAAUUGCGAAACUGGGGGAGUCAAGUGGUUGACUAAUGUCGCUUCAUGGCUAAUGAUUCCACCUCG